AUGCAAUUUUGAAAAGAAAGAUCAUCUCCACUUUACAAAUUAACAAUAAAAUAGUGAUAACAAAUGUUCUCUUGGAUUAAAACUUGAAUCAAUAGGGUUCAAUUUUAUUUAUUUAUUUUGCAAUCAGGUGAUGUUACAGGGUAUUGCAAAUGAUGUCAACUAGUGAUUAGCUUGAUCUUAAGUACAGGGAACAAAUUUGAAAAAGAAGAGAGCUAAUGGAGAACACCAA
Molecule: unclassified non-coding RNA, 229 nt
Filed under: Hevea brasiliensis (rubber tree)
Lineage: Eukaryota; Viridiplantae; Streptophyta; Magnoliopsida; Malpighiales; Euphorbiaceae
Source: RNAcentral